RNAcentral lists this long non-coding RNA (334 nucleotides) under Linum usitatissimum (flax). RNAcentral's name for it is "long non-coding RNA (LUSI_LNC005878)". The record is from RNAcentral. Lineage: Eukaryota; Viridiplantae; Streptophyta; Magnoliopsida; Malpighiales; Linaceae.
AAAUCUGCAGCGAGAUCUUUAGGAUCUAAAAGACGUUUCUCGACAGGUCUAUCGCGUGGAGAUAUGUUGGUGGCAUCGAAGAUCGAGGCAACAGUAGGUGUAUGCCAUGCAAAUGGGUGUGAUGUAACUAAGGGAGGGGUGAGAAGCCAGGUGACCGUUGAGGGAUUAAUGGCGUAGUUUUCUAGGUUGAGACAAAAGCUUCCACUUGAUAAACUUUGUUGUGAAGUGUGAGUUCCUUGGCUGGUGGAGCGUGGAAUCUGACUAUCGAUGUUGUUGUGGUAGGGGUUGGUGGUCUCCCGGUCAUUCUCUAUCAAUGGCGGACUCCCCUAUUUCU